GAUGAACGCUGGCGGCGUGCCUAAUACAUGCAAGUCGAGCGAACAGACGAGGAGCUUGCUCCUCUGACGUUAGCGGCGGACGGGUGAGUAACACGUGGAUAACCUACCUAUAAGACUGGGAUAACUUCGGGAAACCGGAGCUAAUACCGGAUAAUAUAUUGAACCGCAUGGUUCAAUAGUGAAAGACGGUUUUGCUGUCACUUAUAGAUGGAUCCGCGCCGCAUUAGCUAGUUGGUAAGGUAACGGCUUACCAAGGCAACGAUGCGUAGCCGACCUGAGAGGGUGAUCGGCCACACUGGAACUGAGACACGGUCCAGACUCCUACGGGAGGCAGCAGUAGGGAAUAUUCCGCAAUGGGCGAAAGCCUGACGGAGCAACGCCGCGUGAGUGAUGAAGGUCUUCGGAUCGUAAAACUCUGUUAUUAGGGAAGAACAAAUGUGUAAGUAACUAUGCACGUCUUGACGGUACCUAAUCAGAAAGCCACGGCUAACUACGU
This 496-nucleotide ribosomal RNA is filed under the name uncultured bacterium. RNAcentral's name for it is "partial 16S ribosomal RNA". It matches the Rfam family "Bacterial small subunit ribosomal RNA", at positions 28 to 506 of the family's 1533-position model. The record is from RNAcentral.